This 390-nucleotide ribosomal RNA is filed under the name uncultured bacterium. RNAcentral describes it as "bacterial SSU rRNA". It matches the Rfam family "Bacterial small subunit ribosomal RNA", at positions 29 to 416 of the family's 1533-position model. The record is from RNAcentral.
AUUGAACGCUGGCGGCAUGCCUAACACAUGCAAGUCGAACGGCAGCACAGCAGUAGCAAUACUGUGGGUGGCGAGUGGCGGACGGGUGAGGAAUACGUCGGAAUCUGCCCAGUCGUGGGGGAUAACUAGCCGAAAGGUUAGCUAAUACCGCAUACGACCGAGAGGUGAAAGCGGGGACCGCAAGGCCUCGCGCGAUUGGAUGAGCCGACGUCGGAUUAGCUAGUUGGCGGGUAAAGGCCCACCAAGGCGACGAUCCGUAGCUGGUCUGAGAGGAUGAUCAGCCACACUGGAACUGAGACACGGUCCAGACUCCUACGGGAGGCAGCAGUGGGGAAUAUUGGACAAUGGGCGCAAGCCUGAUCCAGCAAUGCCGCGUGUGUGAAGAAGGCC